RNAcentral lists this ribosomal RNA (404 nucleotides) under uncultured bacterium. RNAcentral's name for it is "partial 16S ribosomal RNA". It matches the Rfam family "Bacterial small subunit ribosomal RNA", at positions 28 to 526 of the family's 1533-position model. The record is from RNAcentral.
GAUGAACGCUGACAGAAUGCUUAACACAUGCAAGUCAACUGUGGCGGACGGGUGAGUAACGCGUAAAGAACUUGCCUCACAGAUAGGGACAACAUUUGGAAACGAAUGCUAAUACCUGAUACUGUGAGAGAGCUUUGCGUCCCAUUCGCUAGUUGGAGAGGUAACGGCUCACCAAGGCGAUGAUGGUUAGCCGGCCUGAGAGGGUGAUCGGCCACAAGGGGACUGAGACACGGGCAGUACUCCUACGGGAGGCAGCAGUGGGGAACAUAGGACAAUGGACCAAAGUCUGAUCAAGCAAUUCUGUGUGCAAGAUGAAGUUUUCGGAAUGUAAAGUGCUUUCAGUUGGGAAGCGGUACCAACAGAAGAAGUGACGGCUAAAUACGUGCCAGCCGCCGCGGUAAUUC